RNAcentral lists this long non-coding RNA (197 nucleotides) under Mustela putorius furo (domestic ferret). RNAcentral's name for it is "lncRNA (ENSMPUG00000031327.1)". Lineage: Eukaryota; Metazoa; Chordata; Mammalia; Carnivora; Mustelidae. The record is from RNAcentral.
AUCAAAGCUCUCAGACUGCCAUGACAGUAGAGGUGAGGACUAGAAGACCCAUGCCAUGGUCCUGCUAAGAAGCAGUAAAGGACUUUUUCAGGUGGGAAAAAUAGACAAAAUUAUUCUGCUGAGGACAUCUACUUGGUGCAGUCAACAAUGGCUCUGUUGUAAUUUAGAGAAAGCUGACAUAAGAGCUAGAAGACACU